AUGAAUUUUUUGGGACUUUAAAAGGUCCGGCGUUUACUCUCAGUGAAACUCCUAUCGCUCGUAUUGUACGGACAGCUUGUCUUCAGAGAGAAAGGAGCUUAAAAUUCAAAAGGUCCUGAACAUUCCAUGGAAACCAUACUUCCGAGCGCUGAAGUUUCCCAAGAGAAGGCUCGUGAGUCCCUCAUUGCAAUCUCACAGUUGGAUCCAGAUAAAAACCUAACCCUAGCUUCUGACCCGUCAUCCAAACUCCUCAUCAAUUCAACCGCUGCCACGGACAAAGGAAGUGGUGGGGCAGAAGAAUACAGGCAGAAGCUCAUUUCCAUAUCCUAUACACAGUCGCCAGAAGACCACAAUAAGAUCUGAUUCUGACCGCUACUCACCAUGAGGUUAGCUUGGUUUUCCUUAUGACUUUUCCAAUAUACAUAUUACCCUCAACUGGUUUAUGCUUGGCAUCUUAGCAAAAGAAAUCUACAGGUCUGGAUGCAAAUAAUGGUUGUUUGGUUUUGUAAAAUUUGUUGAUGUUGGUUGUCUUAAAUGAUCAGACUCGGCUUUCUUUCACAGCACUGAGUGCGCAUUGGCCCUGAAAACAUCAUUUGAGGCAAUGCAUGUAAAGGAACGUUUCUUUGGUUCUUGGUUCUCUCUCUCGUGCACACACACGCACGCACGCAUAUGAUGCAUUGACUUAUGCAUCUCUUGUAGCUUGAUGCUUAUGACUGAUGUUACACUUGGCCGUGAA
This is a long non-coding RNA of Amborella trichopoda, 736 nucleotides long. RefSeq lists it as uncharacterized. The record is from RefSeq and is a predicted model, not a curated record. NCBI's taxonomy places the organism in Eukaryota, Viridiplantae, Streptophyta, Magnoliopsida, Amborellales, Amborellaceae.